UAGACCCACAUGGCUACAACCAACACCCUUGUCCUAUAACAUUUGUGGGCAGAAGAAAAAAUGUGGGGAGAAUUAGGUUUUCUUGAAGAGCUUUCCCAUUAAUUCCUCUGUGGAAUUAAGGCCAAACAUCUUUUGUAAUACGAGGUGUCGUUCUUUUUCAGUUUCUGUCAAUCAAUGGAAUGGAAAUGUUCAAUAGGAUAUAAUGGCUACACACACAAAAAAUAUAUGUGAAGAAGGAUCAAUACAGGAUUUCUACCCUAUUCAUCCAGUCUCUAACAAUACCAAAGUUAGGAAUUUGGCACAGCUGCAUACUGUUUUUUCUGCUUGGAAAUCAGGACUUAAUCCAUCAAUACUAAUGGAAGUCAGAAAGGAAGUAUCCCAAAGGACCUAUCCAAUGUAUUAGUGAUGAAAGAGAGAACUUAUGAUAAGAAAACCUUGAAAGGAAGAAGAUUGUGGGAUGCGGAAACCAUAAAACAAAAAAUGCGACGGAGCAACUUUUAGCCAUUCCACACAUUGCUGAUCAGAGGUGCUUCCAACAAUGGCAGAAACGUUGGGAGAAGUGCACAGAUGCAGGAGGAGCAUA
This is a long non-coding RNA of Alligator sinensis (Chinese alligator), 583 nucleotides long. RefSeq lists it as uncharacterized. The transcript is spliced from 3 exons. NCBI's taxonomy places the organism in Eukaryota, Metazoa, Chordata, Crocodylia, Alligatoridae. The record is from RefSeq and is a predicted model, not a curated record.